AUCCAACGGCAGCAGUAGUCCUUCCAUAUUUCCACCAAAGGGGUCAUCUAGAAAUGAUGCUGAAGGAAGCAAUGGAAUAGCUGGUUCAAGCAAAGAAAAAACAAGGUUGCCAUCUGUUCCCUCAGAGAAAAUCCCCCAUCUGGAAACUGCAGGUCUUCUUUCUGUUGUAGAUCAUGAACGAGUUGGUCAGCAGACUAGGGAUGCAGAGUUACAAAAAAAUCAUGAGAAGAAGCCAGUUACUGAUGAAUUGGAGAGUGUUGUAAAGUUCAAACAGGCAGAGGCAAAGAUGUACCAAGAACGUGCUGAUGAUGCAAGAAGAGAAGCUGAGAACCUAAAACGCAUAGCAAUAGCGAAGAAUGUUAAGAUUGAGGAAGAUUAUGCUAGUCGAAUUGCAAAAUUGCGAUUGGUUGAGGCGGAGGAAAGGCGUAGACAAAAGCUUAAAGAAUUACAAGUUAUUGAAAGGGCACACCUUGAGUACUUCAAUAUGAAAAUGAGGAUGGAAGCUGAUAUAAAGGAUCUAUUGUUGAAAAUGGAAGCUGCAAAGCGUAACUUCAAUGCAUGAGGGGGUCUUAAAACAAGAGUUCUCAAUGCUGGGCAUCCAUAUCACAUUCCUGCGUUUGUAGGACAGCCACAUAAAUAGACAUUUCAUAUGAAAGUUGUAAGUUUUAGGUUUUUCUGCCCCGCAUGUAUCACCCUCUUCAUGUUGUUAAAUUUGUAUGGUGUAAAAUUAGCUUCUUAGUGUACAAUUUUUCCUAUUUCAUCUUUUGUCUAGCUAACUGGAUUCUGUACAGUGACAUGCUCGACCUCUGCGUGUGAUCAUUGGUUUCCUUUAUGACAAAAGGAAAUAGGUUCUCAUUUAUCUUAUAAUUUAUCAAUCAUGUGUUUUUCCUUUUUUUUUUUUUACCCAGAUGACCAGCCAACCAGGCUUAUAAAUAUGGUUGCACCUCUUUUAGUCAGAUUGAUUUUUCAAGAGUUUCCCAUUUUCUCUUCCAGAGAAUACUGCUGAAUGGUCAUGCUUCGCAGAAUUCACUUAAUUCUUUGAACAGGCAACAUCAGUUGAAGUCCGAUGGCCUCUCAAGGCAGCCAAGUCUUCCAAGACAGUUGUCCCCUACACAGAGUCACGGCUCUCACGAUACUAGGUCAGAACACAGUAAGGACAAGAGGGUGCUCACAAGAGAGAGAAGCAGCAGUAGCCUUUUUAAGAGUGAGCAACAGGAUGGUGAACUGCUUGCCCUUAAUGGUUCUGGUGUCAUUGAGAGCAUUGUCUCCAAAAUUGUGGCAGAACCUUUACAUCUAAUGGGCAGGAUGCUUCAAGGAAUGACGGUGCACUCCAUAGCAUACCUGAAGGAAACCAUUUGUGAGAUGAUUGCUAGUGCAGAUAAAAGUGGGCAAAUACAUGCAUUUCAGGAGGCACUUAAGAGGAGGUCUGACAUGACUAUGGAAACACUGUCCAAAUGCCCUCGUGUUCUUCUGGAGAUCUUGGUAGCUAUAAAAACAGGUCUUCCAGAUUUCAUUCAGAGGGCAAAUAACAUCUCAUCAUCUGAUUUUGUUGAGAUAUUUUUAAAUAUGAAGUGCUGCAAUCUUGCUUGCCAGAGUAUUUUGCCUGUUGAUGAUUGUGACUGCAAAGUUUGUUUACAGAAGAAUGGUUUCUGCAGCGCAUGCAUGUGUCUUGUGUGCUCCAAGUUUGACAAUGCAGCUAAUACUUGUAGCUGGGUGGGCUGUGAUAUCUGCCUCCACUGGUGCCACACAGAAUGUGGGUUGCGUGAUUCUCAUAUUAGGAAUGGGCGAAGUUCUACAGGAGCACAAGAGAUGACUGAGAUGCAGUUUCACUGUCUUGCUUGUGGUCAUCGUUCUGAGAUGUUUGGAUUUGUGAAGGAAGUUUUUAAAACCUGUGCCAAGGACUGGAAAGUAGAAACUCUUGCUAAGGAACUUCAGUAUGUGAAGAGUAUCUUUACUACGAGCAAUGAUGUGAGGGGUAAAAAAUUGCAUGAUGUAGCUGAGCAGAUGCUGAUGAGACUAGAAGAUAAAGCCAAUCAUUCCAAAGUUAUCAAUUAUGUAAUGUCAUUUCUUUCUGGUAAGCUAUUGACUAUCUGCAACAUAAAAUCUUGGGCUUAUUGCAAUUUACCAUAUUCCACUAAUGCCCAGGCAUAUAUAAUGUUUAUUUGCUUGGUAUCUUGUAUGGGGGUAGGUCUUGGUGCAAUGGUAAGGUUGCUCCAUUGUGAUAUGGGUUCACGGGUUCUAACAUAAAAAUGACCUCUCCAUAUGCGAGGGUAAGGCUGCGUAUAUUUGUCUCUCUCCAGAGCUUGUAGUGGUUGGAGCUUGUGCAUUUUUGAACACCCUCUUUUUUCUCUUCUUUUCUUUUCUUUUUUUUAUGUGCUUCGUGUCUUUUAUAUAUGUUCAUUCAUCUCUACUGUUGUCUGGUUUCUGGCCUUCUUGUGCGGUACUUCUGCAUGUAUUGUAGUUGUUAAACAGCAUGACAAUCUGGAAGUUCCCACUAGGUCAAUAUUCUGGUUGUUAGCACUGGUGAAACUCGUCUUGUUGGUAGUUUUCAUUGCUUGUCCACCAAUGUCAGGUUUUAAUGACAAGAUCCUCUCUUGCCAAAGAUAUCUAGGUCAUAAAUCAGUAGUAUUCGUCAAGUUCAAAGUAUCACUUCUAUGGAUCUUACUCUGAUAAUCAAAGCUGUCUUGGGUAAGGCCUCGAAGUUCAAGUUUUAAGAUAAUGUUUGAAGUAUUGCAGCUCCUUAGUUAUUCAUGUCGAUAGAGUUGUAACUGAGGACAGCCAUACUUGUGGUAUGCUUCAAAACUCAUUCAUGUUAGUAUCUUUUGUUCUUUCUAAAUCUUAGGAAUUUUGGAGGCUUUCUUCUUAGUUACAAAGAUUGAGGUGUAUAACCAGAUAGUUAGGUCUUAUACUUGUUAAUUGGCCUUUUAAGUUUCAUGGAAAUCUCCUUUCUUGUCUAAAUAGUCAUGUUGGCCAACUCCAAAAUAGUAUCUCCUCUAUUGUUUGUAUCUCUAAAAUUGUAACCUCCAUGUGCCCUUUCAAAACUUAUACCAUAUUUUCCUACAUGCCCAUUCAAAUCUCUUCCAUUAAGUAUGUUUUCUCCACUAGAAAUCAUUUGAAUUUGUUAUCCAUGUUCUCCCAAAAGUGCUACUUGAGGAGCGUAAGCACUAAUUAUUAAUAGAUUCCUCUUCUAACACUAAUUUUAUUAAGACUAUUUUGUCUCCUACUAUCUUAAUGUCUAUAACCUUAUCUUUUAACUAUAAUCUAUAAUAAAUUCUUUUCUAUUUUUAUUCCUAUCUUUCUCUGUAUAUCAAAGUUUAUCACCCAUCUUACCAACUUGUUUUUGUUUUUCCUUAUAUCUUCUGUCUUUUGCAGUAAGCUAUGUUAACUCUCCUCCUAGUCAUUGUAUUUACUAGCUUUAUCAACUAUCCUAUCAACGACCUUGUAUUCUAAGUUGCUAAAUGUAUCCGACUUUCCUGGACUAACUUCUUUGUCCACACCGUUGCAUAAAAGUAUGAGAACUCUUGCCUACUUCUGAAUAUACCUGGGCAGCAAUGUGGUGUAUCGCUGCUGCAGAACACCCUAGUUAACCAUUGCCCAUUUUUCACUACAAUUCAAGGUGGAAUGCAGUAACAGAUUUCUUAGGAUUCUGUUUAUGAUUCUGUUUAUAUGAUGUGACUAUAAUUUUAUGUUGACCGUCAACCUACCACAACCUUCCUCCUUUAUCUGGGCAUGGGGCCAGCUAUGUACAAAAACAUAGGUACAGUUAUUUAUAGUUUUGGUGUUAUAGGUCCAACUUAACUCAACUAAGCCUUAAUCCCAAACUAGUUGGGGUUGGCUACAUGAAUUCUUUUCCUUCACGCNNNNNNNNNNNNNNNNNNNNNNNNNNNNNNNNNNNNNNNNNNNNNNNNNNNNNNNNNNNNNNNNNNNNNNNNNNNNNNNNNNNNNACACACACACACACACCUACAUCACACUCAUACACAUACACAUACAUCACACACACACACACAUACAUACACACACAUACAUACAUAUACAUUCAAACCAUCUGAGUCAUCCUCUCAAUUUAUCUUUGGUGCUAGCUCCACCUUUUGAGGCUAAAAUCCUAAGAUUAUUAAAUUAUUGCAAUAUUUUAGAAAGCGAUGAAAGUGUUAAAGAAUUAUAAUACAUGCCAAUUCUUUGGUUAUAAGAUAAUUAUCAAACACCUAAUAAUAUGAGUAUCUAUAUAAUUAAAUACAAUAACAUAAAACAAUAAAUUAGUAUGAAUUUGUUAUCAUCAUAUCAAGUACCGAAUACCAGCAUAUACCUGAUGACCUGCAAAGUAUGGAGAUCAAAUAUAUCAUCUAAAGCUUAUAAGUUAUAAUAUUUAUGCCAUGAAAAUCGAACCUUAAAUCUAACAAGUCUACUGCUCAAGGGGAUGUACUACAUUCACCUCAUUUCUCCUUUUUAUCCUAGAAGCUUUUAAUGAUCCAAAAUGUCUCUUCCAUUAAGAAAAACUAACCUUCAAUUGAGCUGUUUAAACUAACUCUUUCAAAAAAUCGUCUAAUCUCUCAAAUACUUUCAACUCUUUAAAAGAUACAUAAGGAACCAUGUUUAAUCUUGAGAAAACACUCCUCAAGGGCUUGCUUUACCAUCCAUGAGCAAGUAUUCCCUCUUUAAACACAAAAAUAAAUGGAUAACACUCCUCAAGGGCUUGCUUUACCAUCCAUGAGCAAGUAUUCCCUCUUUAAACACAAAAAUAAAUGGAUAAUGAUCCAAAAUCGUAACUAUUUAAGUAAGUGUAUUUAAAGAAAUGAACUAGCCUUUAUCCUCCUCCCCCCCAAAAAAAGUGAAAUGUAGUGAAAGAAAUAUCCUAGUCCCUCCCCCCCCCCAACAAAAAAAAAAAAUACUAAACAAGAAAAAGGAGAAAUGUACCGGUGAAUAAUAUCUUGUAAAAAUACCAUCCAUCAUUGGCUUAUACUUCUCAAAGACCAUAUUUACAAUCCAUGAGUAAGUGUAUCCUCUUUAAACUCAAACAUAAACGAAAAAUGAUCCAAAAUUUUGACACUUUAACUAACUAUUAUGUUCAAAGAAAUGUACUGAUGACCAAAGCAUCUGUAAUCAGUUUAAGUCAGAUUUGGCCAAAAUAGGUCAAAACCACCAAAAUUAUUGGUACCGACCAAAACCUCCAAAACCUAUUGAAACUGAAUUUCCAAUAUUCUGGUCUCAAUUUCAGUAGAAACUUCUGCUUAUCAGUCCAACUAGAUUGGUUUCAUUUGAACUUCAAACUCUGGUCAAACCAUACUUAUGAUCAAGUGCUGACUGCAAGUACCUUGUGUUUGAUUGAACGAUAUGGUUAUUGUAGACAAUAGGAUGACUAGAUAUCACUGGAAGAUUUAGUUAUGUGUAAGCAAAUCUCUGAUCUCCGAUUAAGUACUGUAUUAUAAUAUCCAACAUGAGGAUCUUGGCUAGGUUCAAAAUCAUCGAGGGAUAAGUCUUGGUUGCUACACAAAAAAAUGAUCCACCUUUUGUGCGACUGCCACAUCCACAAAGUGCACUUCAUGUUCAAGCAAUUUCUUUUUCUUUGAGGAUUCUUUAUUUCUUAGUAUUCAGAAUCUUUUAUCCAGUGUGCUCAACCCAAAUUUUCUUGGUGUACUGCUUUUGCAGAGCUUCCUCGGUUCUUCCUCAAGUUUUUUUGUAAAGCUACUUUUUCAGGCCCUUAUCUUAAUCAGCUCCUGCAGCCUCUCCUUUCUCAAAUAGCUAAAGCCUUUUCCUUCCAAACAUCUUAAUCAACAGGUGAAAAAUAGGAUUGCCAAACAUGGCAUGUUUUUGCUUUCCAACAUGAAAACAAGUUUUUGUUGGAAAGAUUGAUGUUGCUAAUUGUGGCUAGUUACCGCACCCUGUCAUUGAAGAAAGUUGUUUACCUGUUGAUAUUCACGUUUCGUUGAGCAUUCUUUAUAGUUGUUAAUAUUGAUCAAUUGAGCAGAAACUUGAGGAUGUAAUCACUCAGUUGGGAUAGUUUGGCAGUGUCUUUAUGUGAGAAUAUGAUCCACAUGAAAUGAUUUAUUUGAACAGGCGCUGUUAUUUCACAUUGUCUGUAUAGAUGGGUGUGAACGCAGGAACAAGUAGGUAGGGACAUGUGUUUGUGUUUGCAUGAUGGAUAAGUAUGCUUAUUUAUGCAUGCAUGCAUUGCAUGCUUGUGUGCGCAUGAUUGGAUGGAUCACCCACGAUAUGUUGGUAUACUCUUAGAGUUGACCCUUUUUAUGUAGUAAUAAGUGCAAAUGACUGGUAGAAAUUGGCGGUGCCAUCAAGGUUUAAUAAUUUUAAAUGUCAAAUAGUGCCAUGUCUGAGUGUCAAUUUUGAUAAGAAAUAUGAAUGGUGGGUCUUGCUUCUUUUCACUUUUUGGAUUUUAGUUUCAUUUUCACCUACUUGGUUCAAUGUCGAUUAAGUAUGAUCAUGUUCCUCUACAGCAGCUAUACUUGAUCAGUUUUGCACUUUGCUCUAAAGUGGCACCCUUUUAUUGAACAAUGGAGACCUCAUCAUCCAAUCAUGAGAAUUUACUGUGAACAUAAAUUGACCGCUAUGAAAUCUAUAGUAUGUUUACAAAUCCAUCAUGACUGUAUUAUAAUGGUGUAUUUUUGAACUAAUGUUUUUGUGAAGAGAAAACAUAACCAUUCUGAAUUGUUAUUUUUAUAUUUCAGAUAGUGAAUCCAACGGCAGCAGUAGUCCUUCCAUAUUUCCACCAAAGGGGUCAUCUAGAAAUGAUGCUGAAGGAAGCAAUGGAAUAGCUGGUUCAAGCAAAGAAAAAACAAGGUUGCCAUCUGUUCCCUCAGAGAAAAUCCCCCAUCUGGAAACUGCAGGUCUUCUUUCUGUUGUAGAUCAUGAACGAGUUGGUCAGCAGACUAGGGAUGCAGAGUUACAAAAAAAUCAUGAGAAGAAGCCAGUUACUGAUGAAUUGGAGAGUGUUGUAAAGUUCAAACAGGCAGAGGCAAAGAUGUACCAAGAACGUGCUGAUGAUGCAAGAAGAGAAGCUGAGAACCUAAAACGCAUAGCAAUAGCGAAGAAUGUUAAGAUUGAGGAAGAUUAUGCUAGUCGAAUUGCAAAAUUGCGAUUGGUUGAGGCGGAGGAAAGGCGUAGACAAAAGCUUAAAGAAUUACAAGUUAUUGAAAGGGCACACCUUGAGUACUUCAAUAUGAAAAUGAGGAUGGAAGCUGAUAUAAAGGAUCUAUUGUUGAAAAUGGAAGCUGCAAAGCGUAACUUCAAUGCAUGAGGGGGUC
Molecule: long non-coding RNA, 7254 nt
Filed under: Phoenix dactylifera (date palm)
Lineage: Eukaryota; Viridiplantae; Streptophyta; Magnoliopsida; Arecales; Arecaceae
Description: long non-coding RNA (PDAC_LNC003777)
Source: RNAcentral